Molecule: ribosomal RNA, 413 nt
Filed under: uncultured bacterium
Lineage: Bacteria
Description: bacterial SSU rRNA
Rfam family: Bacterial small subunit ribosomal RNA
Source: RNAcentral
GUGCCAGCAGCCGCGGUAAUACGUAGGUGGCAAGCGUUGUCCGGAAUUAUUGGGCGUAAAGCGCGCGCAGGCGGCUUCUUAAGUCUGAUGUGAAAGCCUACGGCUCAACCGCGGACGGUCAUUGGAAACUGGGAGACUUGAGUGCAGAAGAGGAAAGUGGAAUUCCACGUGUAGCGGUGAAAUGCGUAGAGAUGUGGAGGAAAACCGGUGGCGAAGGCGACUUUCUGGUCUGCAACUGACGCUGAGGCGCGAAAGCGUGGGGAGCAAACAGGAGUAGAUACCCUGGUAGUCCACGCCGUAAACGAUGAGUGCUAAGUGUUAGGGGGGUUCCGCCCCUUAGUGCUGCAGCCAACACAUUAAGCAUUCCGCCUGGGGAGUACGACCGCAAGGUUGAAACUCAAAGGAAUUGACGG